AUACGGAGGAUCCGAGCGUUAUCCGGAUUUAUUGGGUUUAAAGGGUGCGCAGGCGGCCAUUUAAGUCAGCGGUUAAAUCGUGGGGCUCAACCCCAUUCUGCCGUUGAUACUGGGUGGCUUGAUUGCGGUCGAGGUUGGCGGAAUUCGUUGUGUAGCGGUGAAAUGCAUAGAUAUGACGAAGAACACCGAUUGCGUAGGCAGCUGACCAGACCGCAAAUGACGCUCAUGCACGAAAGUGCGGGGAUCGAACAGGACUAGAUACCCUGGUAGUCCGCACAGUAAACGAUGAAUACUUGUUUUCGGCGAUAUAAUGUCGGAGGCAAAGCGAAAGCGAUAAGUAUUCCACCUGGGGAGUACGCCGGCAACGGUGAAACUCAAAGGAAUUGACGGGG
Molecule: ribosomal RNA, 392 nt
Filed under: uncultured bacterium
Lineage: Bacteria
Description: partial 16S ribosomal RNA
Rfam family: Bacterial small subunit ribosomal RNA
Source: RNAcentral